RNAcentral lists this ribosomal RNA (496 nucleotides) under uncultured bacterium. RNAcentral's name for it is "bacterial SSU rRNA". It matches the Rfam family "Bacterial small subunit ribosomal RNA", at positions 28 to 513 of the family's 1533-position model. The record is from RNAcentral.
GAUGAACGCUAGCUACAGGCUUAACACGUGCAAGUCGAGGGGAAACGAUAUUGGAAGCUUGCUUCCGAUAGGCGUCGACCGGCGCACAGGUGAGUAACGCGUAUCCAACCUGCCCACCACUUGGGAAUAACCUUGCGAAAGUAAGACUAAUGCCCAAUGACAUUGAGUGCAGACAUCUAAUCUCAAUUAAAGAUUUAUCGGUGAUGGAUGGGGAUGCGUCCGAUUAGCUUGUUGGCGGGGUAACGGCCCACCAAGGCAACGAUCGGUAGGGGUUCUGAGAGGAAGGUCCCCCACAUUGGAACUGAGACACGGUCCAAACUCCUACGGGAGGCAGCAGUGAGGAAUAUUGGUCAAUGGGCGAGAGCCUGAACCAGCCAAGUAGCGUGCAGGAUGACGGCCCUAUGGGUUGUAAACUGCUUUUAUAAGGGAAUAAAGUGGGUCACGUGUGACUUUUUGCAUGUACCUUAUGAAUAAGGACGGCUAAUCCGUGCCAGCA